AGCCGAGGGCGCCCUCCCGGGCGCGCAGAAAGCCGGCGGUGGGGGUGGGAGAGCGUCAAAACCGUUAGCUCGCUUCCCCCCUCCCUCCCUAAGGUUUCUUUUCUCUUCCUGUCCAAAUAUUCAAAUUUCCGCGCCUUAAAUAACAGUCUCCUUUUAUUUAGUUAGUUUUCCCCGGCAGGUUUGGCCCUCGGCUCCUCUCUGCCCCACCUCCGGGUCCGAGAUGCCUGCGGCGGGGCCUGGGUGCUGGACCUGUCGCCCUGGCUCCCCCCGGGUCGCAGCCUGCGCGGCACUUCGAGCGCCCACCGGAGCCACACACAGCUCGCUCUCCCGGCGACCUCGCUCGACCCGGCUGUCUGGACACGCGGAGCCACGCAGGCCGCCCCCACCUCCGGGCCGGCCGGACGCCGGCCGACCUCCCCAGCGCCACUGCACUCCCUGAACUUGGGAGCGCCUGGGCUUUGGGGCUGAGAACCCGGGAGCCCAGGAGCAGCGGAAGGGCGAGCUGCAGACGAGGCGCGUGGCGGGAGCCGGCCCCAGCCCCCAGUCCGCGGGAUAACCUUGGAGGCUCCCGGGCCCUGAGAGAGAGGGCAUAAAUGGAAUGAAGAUUAUUUCUGAAGUUACUGAAGAAGAUUCUGGUGGUAAACGUAGUGCAAGAAAAAAAGUCUUGCUAAAGCUGAGUGUUUUAUGUUACCCCUUAACUUCUAGUGAAGACACUAAAGAAUAAAAAUAUAAUAUUAAAUGGAACUGUGAUCAGAAUAAACAUAAGAAAAUGUUGUGGUCAAA
Perognathus longimembris pacificus (Pacific pocket mouse) is the source of this 783-nucleotide long non-coding RNA. RefSeq lists it as uncharacterized. The transcript has 2 exons. NCBI's taxonomy places the organism in Eukaryota, Metazoa, Chordata, Mammalia, Rodentia, Heteromyidae. The record is from RefSeq and is a predicted model, not a curated record.